RNAcentral lists this ribosomal RNA (253 nucleotides) under uncultured bacterium. RNAcentral describes it as "partial 16S ribosomal RNA". It matches the Rfam family "Bacterial small subunit ribosomal RNA", at positions 524 to 776 of the family's 1533-position model. The record is from RNAcentral.
UACGGGGGGGGCAAGCGUUGUUCGGAAUUACUGGGCGUAAAGGGCUCGUAGGCGGCCAACUAAGUCGGAUGUGAAAUCCCCAGGCUCAACCUGGGAACUGCAUCCGAUACUGGAUGGCUUGAAUCCGGGAGAGGGAUGCAGAAUUCCAGGUGUAGCGGUGAAAUGCGCAGAUAUCGGGAAGAACACCCGUGGCGAAGGCGGCUCUCUGGGACGGUACUGACGCUGAGACGCGAAAGCGUGGGGAGCGAACAGG